RNAcentral lists this ribosomal RNA (431 nucleotides) under uncultured Micrococcaceae bacterium. Its description in RNAcentral is "bacterial SSU rRNA". It matches the Rfam family "Bacterial small subunit ribosomal RNA", at positions 354 to 796 of the family's 1533-position model. The record is from RNAcentral. Lineage: Bacteria; Bacillati; Actinomycetota; Actinomycetes; Micrococcales; Micrococcaceae.
GUGGGGAAUAUUGCACAAUGGGCGCAAGCCUGAUGCAGCGACGCCGCGUGAGGGAUGACGGCCUUCGGGUUGUAAACCUCUGUUAGCAGGGAAGAAGAGAAAUUGACGGUACCUGCAGAGAAAGCGCCGGCUAACUACGUGCCAGCAGCCGCGGUAAUACGUAGGGCGCGAGCGUUGUCCGGAAUUAUUGGGCGUAAAGAGCUUGUAGGCGGUUUGUCGCGUCUGCUGUGAAAGGCCGGGGCUUAACUCCGUGUAUUGCAGUGGGUACGGGCAGACUAGAGUGCAGUAGGGGAGACUGGAACUCCUGGUGUAGCGGUGGAAUGCGCAGAUAUCAGGAAGAACACCGAUGGCGAAGGCAGGUCUCUGGGCUGUAACUGACGCUGAGAAGCGAAAGCAUGGGGAGCGAACAGGAUUAGAAACCCCAGUAGUCC